Long non-coding RNA from Hippocampus comes (tiger tail seahorse), 1517 nucleotides. RefSeq lists it as uncharacterized. The transcript has 2 exons. Lineage: Eukaryota; Metazoa; Chordata; Actinopteri; Syngnathiformes; Syngnathidae. The record is from RefSeq and is a predicted model, not a curated record.
UUAUAGUCUUGUGUUGAUUAAUGUGCACCGUUCCAAUUAAAAUGAAUAAAUGAAUCAACAAAUAAAACAGCCAAGAACGCGCGUAAGCUGAAAUGUGCCAUUUUACAUUUGGGAUGCAAAGGACGAGCAGGGUUGAAGCGCCUCGGUUGCCCCUCAGCGGGUGGGCCGGCCGAGAUAACGUCCGCGCUUAAAUAAAGUUUUGGGUUUCCUUUCCAUUGUUUUCUCACAAAGAAAGGCGACUAUUGAUUAAGGGCCCGGCCCGUUUACCUAUCGGGUUGUUCACUUCACAGCGGAGUCGCAUUCCAGCACAGAGGGCAGAGUUACCUGAUCACGCCUCACUUCCAGCUAGCAAAAAAAAAAAAAAAAGCGUGGGCAGCCGCCAGCGCUCACGACUCCCACCGGCGCCGCGCCGCCUUGUACAAUGGGACAAACUUUUGCCAAGAAGCGCAACCGCCGGCGGAAGUUUUGUGGGCGUGAGGGCGGGCUCGUUACUUUGACCAGGUAUCCGUAAGCCUUGUCUAAUCUUUUCUCACACCCUUUCUUUUCUCCCUCUCCCUUCUUGUCGUCCUCAGAGGGCCGCCGGCGGCGGCGGCGGCGCUGGUUUAUAAUGCUGAUGAUUAACUAAAUAGAGUUGUGGGAGAGCAGGUCUGCUCGGCUUUCUCAUUUUGCUGGGGCCCGGCUGACCGCGAGGAGGACGGGAGUGUUCUCGGGCGAGACCUUUCUUCUGCUUCUUUUUCGGCCCCUGCCUUCCCAAACAAAAGUUUGGUUUGGUGGCAUUCUUUGCUCGCCGUACCUCUCCAAGACGGAGGGAGAAUUACCCGUCACACUAAAGACGGAGCCGCACCUUUAUGUACCCACUCGGCUCCAUUACCCAAGCCACCGGCAACACUCGUCUCGUUGUCAGCGAUUGGCGACGGCUGGAGAGCGAAAGGGAGGCUUGAUGGCCUUUGGUGCUCGUACGAGUCUGAAAGCGCCGCGGAAUGAGGAACUUCGGUCAGGUCGUUUCUUCUGCAUUGCUGCUUCCUCAGAGGUCCCCUUGCCAGCCUGUUGAUUGGCGUCUUACCAGACAUGGUUAGAUGUAAUUACUGGUGUCUAAUACUGUCUGGUAAUGCCGUCCAUUAAAUGGCGUUGCCUUCCGCUGUCUUCCUUCUGCUUUCUCGCUCUGAUGCGUCUUCACGCGUGCGCCUUAGCGGACGUGACUGUGGAACCGUGAUCCUUGCACUCACUGGAAGCGUCAAGCAUGCAAGCAGGAUUCUUUCACGUGACUCGAGUCAAAGUUUAACCUUUUUUCUACGAUCGGUACGUUUUUAAGACUUGGGGAAUGUCAGCGUUGGCGGCCGCAUAAGGGUGACCUGUCCCUCCGUAGAGAGACGUGUCGUCUACUCCCGUGUACUGUAACAGAAUACCUUCCAGGAACUUGGCUUUUCUCCAGGUACAGUAGAUAAAUGCAGACUUUAUCCUCGGGCACAAUAUAUGUCAUGUGAAAGAACAUAUUGAAUAAAUGAAAUAAGAAUGGA